RNAcentral lists this ribosomal RNA (850 nucleotides) under uncultured bacterium. RNAcentral's name for it is "bacterial SSU rRNA". It matches the Rfam family "Bacterial small subunit ribosomal RNA", at positions 45 to 896 of the family's 1533-position model. The record is from RNAcentral.
CGCAGCUAUCUGCAGUCGAGGGGCAGCACAGGUAGCAAUACUGGGUGGCGACCGGCAAACGGGUGCGGAACACGUACGUAACCUUCCUUUAAGUGGGGGAUAGCCCGAAGAAAUUCGGAUUAAUACCCCAUAAGAUUGUAGAGUGGCAUCACUAAGCAAUUAAAGAAUUUCGCUUAAAGAUGGGCGUGCGGCUGAUUAGGUAGUUGGUGAGGUAACGGCUCACCAAGCCAACGAUCAGUAACUGGCGUGAGAGCGCGACCAGUCACACGGGCACUGAGACACGGGCCCGACUCCUACGGGAGGCAGCAGUAAGGAAUAUUGGUCAAUGGACGCAAGUCUGAACCAGCCAUGCCGCGUGAAGGAUGAAGGUCCUCUGGAUUGUAAACUUCUUUUAUAUGGGAAGAAAUCACUUUUAUCUAAAGGUGUUGACGGUACCAUAGGAAUAAGCACCGGCUAACUCCGUGCCAGCAGCCGCGGUAAUACGGAGGGUGCAAGCGUUAUCCGGAUUCACUGGGUUUAAAGGGUGCGUAGGCGGAUUAGUAAGUCCGUGGUGAAAUCUCCGAGCUUAACUCGGAAACUGCCGUGGAUACUAUUAAUCUUGAAUGUUGUGGAGGUUAGCGGAAUAUGUCAUGUAGCGGUGAAAUGCAUAGAUAUGACAUAGAACACCAAUUGCGAAGGCAGCUGGCUACACAAAUAUUGACGCUGAUGCACGAAAGCGUGGGGAUCAAACAGGAUUAGAUACCCUGGUAGUCCACGCCCUAAACGAUGAUUACUCGACAUUUGCGAUAUACAGUAAGUGUCUGAGCGAAAGCAUUAAGUAAUCCACCUGGGAAGUACGACCGCAAGGUUG